GUGCUUACUUCAGCAUCAUAUAUACUCAAAUUGGAAUGACACAGAGAAAAUCAGCAUGGCCUCUGCACAAGGAUGAGAGGCAAAUUUGUGAAGCAUUUCUCUUCCUU
Talpa occidentalis (Iberian mole) is the source of this 107-nucleotide small nuclear RNA. The record is from RefSeq and is a predicted model, not a curated record. Lineage: Eukaryota; Metazoa; Chordata; Mammalia; Eulipotyphla; Talpidae.